RNAcentral lists this ribosomal RNA (253 nucleotides) under uncultured bacterium. RNAcentral's name for it is "partial 16S ribosomal RNA". It matches the Rfam family "Bacterial small subunit ribosomal RNA", at positions 524 to 776 of the family's 1533-position model. The record is from RNAcentral.
UACGUAGGUGGCAAGCGUUGUCCGGAUUUAUUGGGCGUAAAGCGAGUGCAAGCGGUUCAAUAAGUCUGAUGUGAAAGCCUUCGGCUCAACCGGAGAAUUGCAUCAGAAACUGUUGAACUUGAGUGCAGAAGAGGAGAGUGGAACUCCAUGUGUAGCGGUGGAAUGCGUAGGUAUAUGGAAGAACACCAGUGGCGAAGGCGGCUCUCUGGUCUGCAACUGACGCUGAGGCUCGAAAGCAUGGGUAGCGAACAGG